CCUACGGGAGGCAGCAGUGGGGAAUCUUGCACAAUGGAGGAAACUCUGAUGCAGCGAUGCCGCGUGAGUGAAGAAGGCCUUUGGGUUGUAAAGCUCUUUUGUAGGGGAAGAUAAUGACUGUACCCUAAGAAUAAGGUCCGGCUAACUUCGUGCCAGCAGCCGCGGUAAUACGAAGGGACCUAGCGUAGUUCGGAAUUACUGGGCGUAAAGCGCGCGUAGGCCGUUGAGUUAGUUAAUUGUGAAAUCCCAAAGCUUAACUUUGGAACUGCAAUUAAAACUGCUCGACUAGAGUUUGAUAGAGGAAAGCGGAAUACAUAGUGUAGAGGUGAAAUUCGUAGAUAUUAUGUAGAACACCAGUUGCGAAGGCGGCUUUCUGGAUCAACACUGACGCUGAGGCGCGAAAGUAUGGGUAGCAAAGAGGAUUAAAUACCCUCGUAGUCCAUACCAUAAACGAUGAUUGNUANAUGUGUAAUUAUUUACUAUAUCGCANCUACGACAUAAGUACAUACCGCCGUCGGGUAGGUACGACCGACGAACGUAAACGUAACGAAAUAGAAGUUAGUAACGGUCGUGUUAGACGUGCCGAACGGACGACGACGAGGGAGGAGG
This 609-nucleotide ribosomal RNA is filed under the name uncultured bacterium. RNAcentral describes it as "bacterial SSU rRNA". The stretch from base 1 to 513 matches the Rfam family "Bacterial small subunit ribosomal RNA", at positions 338 to 873 of the family's 1533-position model. The record is from RNAcentral.